This 523-nucleotide ribosomal RNA is filed under the name Escherichia coli. RNAcentral's name for it is "partial 23S ribosomal RNA". It matches the Rfam family "Bacterial large subunit ribosomal RNA", at positions 1273 to 1791 of the family's 2925-position model. Lineage: Bacteria; Pseudomonadati; Pseudomonadota; Gammaproteobacteria; Enterobacterales; Enterobacteriaceae. The record is from RNAcentral.
CUGGAGGUAUCAGAAGUGCGAAUGCUGACAUAAGUAACGAUAAAGCGGGUGAAAAGCCCGCUCGCCGGAAGACCAAGGGUUCCUGUCCAACGUUAAUCGGGGCAGGGUGAGUCGACCCCUAAGGCGAGGCCGAAAGGCGUAGUCGAUGGGAAACAGGUUAAUAUUCCUGUACUUGGUGUUACUGCGAAGGGGGGACGGAGAAGGCUAUGUUGGCCGGGCGACGGUUGUCCCGGUUUAAGCGUGUAGGCUGGUUUUCCAGGCAAAUCCGGAAAAUCAAGGCUGAGGCGUGAUGACGAGGCACUACGGUGCUGAAGCAACAAAUGCCCUGCUUCCAGGAAAAGCCUCUAAGCAUCAGGUAACAUCAAAUCGUACCCCAAACCGACACAGGUGGUCAGGUAGAGAAUACCAAGGCGCUUGAGAGAACUCGGGUGAAGGAACUAGGCAAAAUGGUGCCGUAACUUCGGGAGAAGGCACGCUGAUAUGUAGGUGAAGUCCCUCGCGGAUGGAGCUGAAAUCAGUCGAA